This 433-nucleotide ribosomal RNA is filed under the name uncultured bacterium. RNAcentral's name for it is "partial 16S ribosomal RNA". It matches the Rfam family "Bacterial small subunit ribosomal RNA", at positions 29 to 507 of the family's 1533-position model. The record is from RNAcentral.
AACGAACGCUGGCGGCAUGCCUAACACAUGCAAGUCGAACGAGACCUUCAGGUCUAGUGGCGCACGGGUGCGUAACGCGUGGGAACCUGCCCUUAGGUUCGGAAUAACUCCCCGAAAGGGGUGCUAAUACCGGAUAAUGUCUUCGGACCAAAGAUUUAUCGCCUUUGGAUGGGCCCGCGUUGGAUUAGCUAGUUGGUAGGGUAAAAGCCUACCAAGGCGACGAUCCAUAGCUGGUCUGAGAGGAUGAUCAGCCACACUGGGACUGAGACACGGCCCAGACUCCUACGGGAGGCAGCAGUGGGGAAUAUUGGACAAUGGGCGAAAGCCUGAUCCAGCAAUGCCGCGUGAGUGAUGAAGGCCUUAGGGUUGUAAAGCUCUUUUACCCGGGAUGAUAAUGACAGUACCGGGAGAAUAAGCUCCGGCUAACUCCGUG